This is a long non-coding RNA of Vespa velutina, 1512 nucleotides long. RefSeq lists it as uncharacterized. The transcript is spliced from 2 exons. The record is from RefSeq and is a predicted model, not a curated record. Lineage: Eukaryota; Metazoa; Arthropoda; Insecta; Hymenoptera; Vespidae.
GAUAGAUAGAUAGAUAGAUAGAUAGAGAAAGAGAGAGAGAGAGAGAGAGAGAGAGAGAGAGAGAGAAGAGAGAGAUCAAUAGCUUCGAUUUAAUCUAUUAUCGUUCGAUAAUAUUUUUUCACGAGAAAAAAAGAAGGAGAUUAAUUUUGUAGAAAAUAAAAAGGAUAAAAAGAGAAAAGAAAAAAAAGAAAGAAAGGAAGAAAGAAAAGAAGAAAGAACAAAAUCCAACGAGGAAAACGAGAGAGUGAUAGAGUACGAAAAACAAGAGAGAGGAAAACAAAAAAAUAAAAAGGAAAAAAAAAAAGAACAGAACGAAAAACAAAGAAAAGAACGAGAUUAGGACAGGACGAAAAGGAAAAAAGGAAAGGGUUAUAAAUUGGCGGUAACUCGAAACCGCCAUGAGGUUAGUGCGAUAUAAUCGAUAUGUAGUUGCGGCAACGCGCCACCAGAGGGUAGGUCGGUAGUACAUUUGGGGUCUCGUCGGAAGGCGCGUCAGUCCAGAGUCAACCGUAGACGGCUGUUCUUACGACGGAUGUGACAAGGCCGUUUUUUUUACUCUAUCUCCUCUCCUCAACGUUCUCUUCUCUCUUUCUCAACGUUUUCCUUUUCCUUUUUUUUUUUUUCUUUUACCUUUUUCCCCCCGUAAAACAACCCAUCGUCACGCCAAUACGAGAUCGUACGUAUCAAUUGUGAGAUAUCGUUUAUCGUGAAACCGAUCAUUAUUCAUCCGUUGAGAUAUUUCGGCGGCAAACGAGAAUAAGGACGAAAAAAGGCCGCGAAUUCGUGACGAUGAUCGUGAAAAGUGUGACAGUGCGCGAGCUCGGUUAAUAUCAAAAACGUAUUAAGAGAAAAUCACGGAUUUCAAGAGAACGUUUCGCCGUUCCCGUGAAAAUAAGAAACAAAGACAGAGAGCGAGAAAACGAGAGAAAGAGAAAGAGGAAGAGAGAGAGAGAGAGAGAGAGAGAGAGAGAGAAAGAGAGAGAGAGAGAGAGAGAGGGAGAGAGAGUAGUUAGAAAAGAAAAUGGCAGAAAGCGGAAAUGACAGGGGCAGUCGUGAAACUCGAGUGUCAUAAGAAGAGUGUAGAUCGCGUGGGAUCGAAAGAAAGGGAAAUGGAAGCAAUGAAACUUCUACGUGAAUCGUCGUUUUAUCCACCGCAGCAUCCACCUCCCGUUCUUAUUACUGGACGACCGCCAUUCUCCUUGAGUCCUUGUUGCUGCUGUUUCUCUAACCGACUUUCUUUGUCGACCACUUUACGUUGCAUAAAAGGAUAAGAAAGGGUGGAUAAAGAAAAAGGGAAAUAUAUCAAAAGAAAGUGAUUUAUAUUUUUCUCCUUAAGCCUUUGUUCUAGACGAUUUUCUUUUAAAGCAAGAAAAAUUGAAGUUUUACGUAUUUGAAGAUUGGCAACAAAAAAAAAAAAAAGAAGAAGAAAGAAAAGGAAAGAAGAGGGAGAGGGAGAGAGAGAGAGAGAGAGAGAGAGAGAGAGAGAGAGAGAGAGAGAGAGAGAGAGAGAGA